This is a long non-coding RNA of Microplitis mediator, 695 nucleotides long. RefSeq lists it as uncharacterized. The transcript is spliced from 4 exons. Lineage: Eukaryota; Metazoa; Arthropoda; Insecta; Hymenoptera; Braconidae. The record is from RefSeq and is a predicted model, not a curated record.
GAUACAACUAGAACACAUAGCCCUUCGUCUCCGGGAGGAACAUACGUAUUCUUUUAGGCACAAAGUGAACACGUUAGCGACAAUUACAAUAAAAAAAAACAAUAAAUAUUAAUAAAAAUAAUCAGUGUGAAAUUAGUGAAUUUUUAAUUGUGCAAGUUUUUUAGUUAUUCAUUUUAUAAACAAUUUUAGUGAAGUAUAAUAAACUCAUUAAAUAAAUAACUAGUGAUACAGAUCCAAUAAAGAAGCAUUAUAUAUUUGGUCUUAUAAAAGUAAGAAUUGGAGGAGAGUGAGCUGUUUGUAGUGACGCCAGUAACAAAUCCCAUACUAAUUAUCCAAGGAAAAGAAUUACACGAUGAUAACAAUCGAUACAAUGUAGUACUCGAAAAACAAUGUCUGAUUGGAGUAGAUUCAUUCCUUGAAGGAAUUUUAGUUACAUUUUUAUCGUACUAUGUCUUUGGAUUUGAUUAUCCAAACAAAUUAGAAAAGACAAUGGAAGCUAUUCAAAAAUUGUUUCUUAAAAUUUCUCCACCAGGAAAGGGUAAUAAGCGAGAUGGAAAAAAAUGAAAAGCUAUACUGUCAUUCAUCCGAAAGUAGCUUCAUUUAUAAAAGAAAUAAAUUAUUAUAUAAAUAAUUAAUAAAAAUUAAAACCUUUUAUAAAAAAUAUAAUUCGAAAAUUUAAAAAAAAAAUCAAAUGU